RNAcentral lists this ribosomal RNA (253 nucleotides) under uncultured prokaryote. Its description in RNAcentral is "partial 16S ribosomal RNA". It matches the Rfam family "Bacterial small subunit ribosomal RNA", at positions 524 to 776 of the family's 1533-position model. The record is from RNAcentral.
UACGGGGGGGGCAAGCGUUGUUCGGAAUUACUGGGCGUAAAGGGCUUGUAGGUGGCCAACUAAGUCAAACGUGAAAUCCCUCAGCUUAACUGGGGAACUGCGCUUGAUACUGGAUGGCUUGAGUUUGGGAGAGGGAUGCGGAAUUCCAGGUGUAGCGGUGAAAUGCGUAGAUAUCUGGAGGAACACCGGUGGCGAAGGCGGCAUCCUGGACCAAUACUGACACUGAAAAGCGAAAGCCAGGGGAGCAAACGGG